UACGUAGGGUGCGAGCGUUAAUCGGAAUUACUGGGCGUAAAGCGUGCGCAGGCGGCGAGGCAGGUCGGGUGUGAAAGCCUCGGGCGCAACCCGGGAAUUGCAUUCGAAACCAUCUUGCUCGAGUGUGGAAGAGGGAAGCGGAAUUCCCGGUGUAGAGGUGAAAUUCGUAGAUAUCGGGAGGAACACCAGCGGCGAAGGCGGCUUCCUGGUCCAUUACUGACGUUCAGGCACGAAAGCGUGGGGAGCAAACAGG
This 253-nucleotide ribosomal RNA is filed under the name uncultured bacterium. RNAcentral's name for it is "partial 16S ribosomal RNA". It matches the Rfam family "Bacterial small subunit ribosomal RNA", at positions 524 to 776 of the family's 1533-position model. The record is from RNAcentral.